Molecule: ribosomal RNA, 520 nt
Filed under: uncultured Glomus
Lineage: Eukaryota; Fungi; Glomeromycota; Glomeromycetes; Glomerales; Glomeraceae
Description: SSU rRNA
Rfam family: Eukaryotic small subunit ribosomal RNA
Source: RNAcentral
AGCAGCCGCGGUAAUUCCAGCUCCAAUAGCGUAUAUUAAAGUUGUUGCAGUUAAAAAGCUCGUAGUUGAAUUUCGGGGUCAGUAGGUUGGUCGUACCACCGGUACGUACUGGUCUCACUGAUUCCUCCUUCCUGAAGAACCGUAAUGCCAUUAAUUUGGUGUUGCGGGGAAACAGGACUGUUACUUUGAAAAAAUUAGAGUGUUUAAAGCAGGCUAACGCUUGAAUACAUUAGCAUGGAAUAAUGAAAUAGGACGAUCGAUCCUAUUUUGUUGGUUUCUAGGAUUGACGUAAUGAUUAAUAGGGAUAGUUGGGGGCAUUAGUAUUCAAUUGUCAGAGGUGAAAUUCUUGGAUUUAUUGAAGACUAACUACUGCGAAAGCAUUUGCCAAGGAUGUUUUCAUUAAUCAAGAACGAAAGUUAGGGGAUCGAAGACGAUCAGAUACCGUCGUAGUCUUAACCAUAAACUAUGCCGACUAGGGAUCGGAUGAUGUUAAUUUUUAAUGACUCAUUCGGCGCCUUAC